Molecule: ribosomal RNA, 273 nt
Filed under: uncultured bacterium
Lineage: Bacteria
Description: partial 16S ribosomal RNA
Rfam family: Bacterial small subunit ribosomal RNA
Source: RNAcentral
UACGUAGGUGGCGAGCGUUGUCCGGAUUUACUGGGCGUAAAGAGCCCGCAGGCGGUCCGUCAAGUUUCAGGUGAAAUCUCCCGGCUCAACCGGGAGGGUGCCUGGAAAACUGGCGGACUUGAGGCAGGGAGAGGGAUGUGGAAUUCCCGGUGUAGUAGUGAAAUGCGUAGAUAUCGGGAGGAACACCAGUGGCGAAGGCGGCAUCCUGGCCCUGUCCUGACGCUCAGGGGCGAAAGCGUGGGGAGCAAACCGGAUUAGAAACCCUCGUAGUCC